This 460-nucleotide ribosomal RNA is filed under the name uncultured bacterium. Its description in RNAcentral is "partial 16S ribosomal RNA". It matches the Rfam family "Bacterial small subunit ribosomal RNA", at positions 338 to 795 of the family's 1533-position model. The record is from RNAcentral.
CCUACGGGAGGCAGCAGUGAGGAAUAUUGGUCAAUGGGCGUAAGCCUGAACCAGCCAAGUCGCGUGAGGGAUGAAGGUUCUAUGGAUCGUAAACCUCUUUUAUAAGGGAAUAAAGUGUGGGACGUGUCCUGUUUUGUAUGUACCUUAUGAAUAAGGAUCGGCUAACUCCGUGCCAGCAGCCGCGGUAAUACGGAGGAUCCGAGCGUUAACCGGAUUUAUUGGGUUUAAAGGGUGCGUAGGCGGCCUUUUAAGUCAGCGGGGAAAGUCUGUGGCUCAACCAUAGAAUUGCCGUUGAAACUGGGAGGCUUGAGUAUGUUUGAGGCAGGCGGAAUGCGUGGUGUAGCGGUGAAAUGCUUAGAUAUGACGAAGAACCCCGAUUGCGAAGGCAGCUUGCUGCAGCGGAACUGACGCUGAUGCUCGAAAGCGCGGGGAUCGAACAGGAUUAGAUACCCUGGUAGUC